UACGUAGGGACCAAGCGUUGUUCGGAUUUACUGGGCGUAAAGGGCGCGUAGGCGGCGUGGUAAGUCACUUGUGAAAUCUCUGAGCUUAACUCAGAACGGCCAAGUGAUACUGCUGUGCUAGAGUGCAGAAGGGGCAAUCGGAAUUCUUGGUGUAGCGGUGAAAUGCGUAGAUAUCAAGAGGAACACCUGAGGUGAAGACGGGUUGCUGGGCUGACACUGACGCUGAGGCGCGAAAGCCAGGGGAGCAAACGGGAUUAGAAACCCUCGUAGUCC
This 273-nucleotide ribosomal RNA is filed under the name uncultured bacterium. RNAcentral describes it as "partial 16S ribosomal RNA". It matches the Rfam family "Bacterial small subunit ribosomal RNA", at positions 524 to 796 of the family's 1533-position model. The record is from RNAcentral.